GGAGAUGUGGCUUAGUGGAUAAGAGUGCUUGCUGUGUAAGCAUGAGGACCUGAGUUCAAAUCCUCAGCACCCACA
Molecule: transfer RNA, 75 nt
Filed under: Mus musculus (house mouse)
Lineage: Eukaryota; Metazoa; Chordata; Mammalia; Rodentia; Muridae
Also listed under: 1 other name
Rfam family: tRNA
About the family: Transfer RNA (tRNA) molecules are approximately 80 nucleotides in length. Their secondary structure includes four short double-helical elements and three loops (D, anti-codon, and T loops).
Source: Rfam by way of RNAcentral